Molecule: ribosomal RNA, 232 nt
Filed under: Francisella tularensis subsp. holarctica
Lineage: Bacteria; Pseudomonadati; Pseudomonadota; Gammaproteobacteria; Thiotrichales; Francisellaceae
Description: partial 23S ribosomal RNA
Rfam family: Bacterial large subunit ribosomal RNA
Source: RNAcentral
ACCAUUCUUCCAGGAAAAGCUACUAAGUAUAAUUUAUAAGUUACCGUACUGUAAACCGACACUGCUGGGUAGGUAGAUAAUACUAAGGCUAUGAGAUAACUCUUGUGAAGGAACUAGGCAAAAUGACACCUUAACUUUGGAAGAAGGUUUUCCCAUGAUGGAGAUGAGACUAGCUCAUUGAGCUGAUGGGGGUUGCAGAUACCAUGUGGCUGCUACUGUUUAUCAAAAACAC